Non-coding RNA from Pteropus alecto (black flying fox), 119 nucleotides. NCBI's taxonomy places the organism in Eukaryota, Metazoa, Chordata, Mammalia, Chiroptera, Pteropodidae. The record is from Rfam.
AAGGGUUGCGCUUGUACCUUGAACAAGCCUAAUCCCAUCUGAUCUCAGAAGCUAAGCAGGGUCAGGCUUGGUUAGUACUUGGAUGUGAGACCACCUAGGAAGACCAGGUGCAACAGGCA